CAGCAGCAGUGUUGCUGACUGGGCCCAUCAUGUUGUUCCCGUGCCGAGAGGGACUCAUCAUCCCAUAUCCACUGUUACCGUAGCCAGUGUGGACUUGAAUGAUGACUCACAAUGGCUAUGGGGUUGGACUAGGCUGUGAGGUGGUGAAGGGCCACGCGAGCUGAUGUGGGCUUCCAGCUGCAGGGAAGCGCUGCAGCAAUGUCUGAGGACCUGAGCCCUAGGACCAUGCCCCAGGACUACCUGACAUGAUGACUCCUUGCUGUCCCCAGUCCACCUGGCCAUGCUGCUGCUCCAGUUUCAACUGGCCUGGGCCCUAGGACCAUGUCCCAGGACUACCUGACAUGAUGACUCCUUGCUGUCCCCAGUCCACCUGACUGUGCUGCUACUCCAGUUUCAACUGUUCUGCCUUAUUAUUAUAAUCUCCACCCGGCACAGCCAGAAGAGGACUGGCCACCCCACAUAUGCUCUCUCUAAUUCUCUCUUUCUUUCUCUCUCUCGGAGGACCUGAGCCCUAGGACCGUGCCCCAGGACUACCUGACAUGAUGACUCCUUGCUGUCCCCAGUCCACCUGACUGUGCUGCUACUCCAGUUUCAACUGUUCUGCCUUAUUAUUAUUCGACCAUGCUGGUCAUUUAUGAACAUUUGAACAUCUUGGUCAUGUUCUGUUAUAAUCUCUACCCGGCACAGCCAGAAGAGGACUGGCCACCCCACAUAGCCUGGUUCCUCUCUAGGUUUCUUCCUAGGUUUUGGCCUUUCUAGGGAGUUUUUCCUAGCCACCGUGCUUUUACACCUGCAUUGUUUGCUGUUUGGGGUUUUAGGCUGGGUUUCUGUACAGCACUUUGAGAUAUCAGCUGAUGUACGAAGGGCUAUAUAAAUACAUUUGAUUUGAUUUGAUGAGAAAUAUGUUUGGAACAUCCAAUAGCAAUACACAUAGAAUCCUGAGUCGCAAUACAUAUAGAAUCCUCAGAAUCACAAUGCAUAUAGAAUCCUCAGAAUCACAAUGCAUAUAGAAUCCUGAGAAUCGCAAUACAUAUAGAAUCCCGAGAGUCGCAAUACAUAUAGAAUCCUCAGAACCACAAUGCGUAUAGAAUCCUGAGAAUCACAAUACGUAUAGAAUCCUGAGAAUCGCAAUACAUAUAGAAUCCUCAGAACCACAAUGCGUAUAGAAUCCUGAGAAUCACAAUACGUAUAGAAUCCUGAGAAUCGCAAUACGUAUAGAAUCAUGAGAAUCGCAAUACAUAUGGAAUCCUGAGAAUCGCAAUACAUAUGGAAUCCUGAGAAUCACAAUACAUGUAGAAUCCUGAGAAUCACAAUACAUAUAGAAUCAUGAGAAUCGCAAUACAUAUAGUAUUUGCACCUAAGUAUCGUGAUAGUUUCGUAUUGUGCGGUCCCUGGCAAAUCCCAGACCUACUUACUAUCUGUUAAAAUAAUAUAUGAAUGCAUCUGCAUCAAUCAUCAUAAUAAACUGAUAAACGAAACCUGGACAUUUAAAUAUGUACCUUCCAACCAUCAUGCUCACAAUAACAUAAUUUGUCAUGUGACACAAAGGUCGCAACAUAGCCUUGGUAUACUGUCUGGAGAUCGGCUUCUCCUGGCAAGAAUAAAAUCACAAGUGAAGCGGAAAUUCAACAACUCUUGGAGGACAGUGGACGACAAAAAAAGUGCUUAUUUUGUUGUUAAAAGUAAGACAAGAUAGCAAGGUAGCACUAGUGUUCCCUUCCAUGUGCAACAAUAAAAUCAUAUGCAUAAAUCAA
This is a long non-coding RNA of Oncorhynchus nerka (sockeye salmon), 1754 nucleotides long. RefSeq lists it as uncharacterized. Lineage: Eukaryota; Metazoa; Chordata; Actinopteri; Salmoniformes; Salmonidae. The record is from RefSeq and is a predicted model, not a curated record. The transcript has 3 exons.